UACGUAGGGUGCAAGCGUUGUCCGGAAUUAUUGGGCGUAAAGAGCUCGUAGGCGGUCUGUCGCGUCGGCUGUGAAAACCCGGAGCUCAACUCCGGGCCUGCAGUCGAUACGGGCAAACUGGAGUGUUGCAGGGGAGACUGGAAUUCCUGGUGUAGCGGUGAAAUGCGCAGAUAUCAGGAGGAACACCGGUGGCGAAGGCGAGUCUCUGGACAGUUACUGACGCUGAUGCACGAAGGCCAGGGGAGCAAACGGG
Molecule: ribosomal RNA, 253 nt
Filed under: uncultured bacterium
Lineage: Bacteria
Description: partial 16S ribosomal RNA
Rfam family: Bacterial small subunit ribosomal RNA
Source: RNAcentral